AACGAACGCUGGCGGCAUGCCUAAUACAUGCAAGUCGAACGAGACCUUCGGGUCCUUUGGCCCACGGGUUCGUCACCCGACGGAUCAUUCACUCAUGUUCGAUCUACCUCUCAGAAAGGGGUGCCAUUUCCGGAUAAUUUCUACGGCCCAAAGAUGUAUUGACUCAGGAUGGUCCCGCGUUGGAUUAGCUAGUUGGUAGGGUAAAAGCCUACCAAGGCGAAGAUCCAUAGCUGGUCUGAGAGGAUGAUCAGCCACACUGGGACUGAGACACGGCCCAGACUCCUACGGGAGGCAGCAGUGGGGAAUAUUGGACAAUGGGCGAAAGCCUGAUCCAGCAAGGCCGCGUGAGUGAUGAAGGCCUUAGGGUUGUAAAGCUCUUUUACCCGGGAUGAUAAUGACAGUACCGGGAGAAUAAGCGCCGGCUAACUCCGUG
This 433-nucleotide ribosomal RNA is filed under the name uncultured bacterium. RNAcentral's name for it is "partial 16S ribosomal RNA". It matches the Rfam family "Bacterial small subunit ribosomal RNA", at positions 29 to 507 of the family's 1533-position model. The record is from RNAcentral.